Molecule: ribosomal RNA, 497 nt
Filed under: uncultured bacterium
Lineage: Bacteria
Description: partial 16S ribosomal RNA
Rfam family: Bacterial small subunit ribosomal RNA
Source: RNAcentral
GAUGAACGCUGGCGGCGUGCCUAAUACAUGCAAGUCGAGCGAACGGACGAGAAGCUUGCUUCUCUGACGUUAGCGGCGGACGGGUGAGUAACACGUGGAUAACCUACCUAUAAGACUGGGAUAACUUCGGGAAACCGGAGCUAAUACCGGAUGAUAUAUUGAACCGCAUGGUUCAAUAGUGAAAGACGGUUUUGCUGUCACUUAUAGAUGGAUCCGCGCUGCAUUAGCUAGUUGGUAAGGUAACGGCUUACCAAGGCAACGAUGCAUAGCCGACCUGAGAGGGUGAUCGGCCACACUGGAACUGAGACACGGUCCAGACUCCUACGGGAGGCAGCAGUAGGGAAUCUUCCGCAAUGGGCGAAAGCCUGACGGAGCAACGCCGCGUGAGUGAUGAAGGUCUUCGGAUCGUAAAACUCUGUUAUUAGGGAAGAACAAAUGUGUAAGUAACUGUGCACGUCUUGACGGUACCUAAUCAGAAAGCCACGGCUAACUACGUG